This is a long non-coding RNA of Brassica napus (rape), 1728 nucleotides long. RefSeq lists it as uncharacterized. The record is from RefSeq and is a predicted model, not a curated record. NCBI's taxonomy places the organism in Eukaryota, Viridiplantae, Streptophyta, Magnoliopsida, Brassicales, Brassicaceae. The transcript has 2 exons.
UUCAGGUCCACGUUAGAGUUACUCUUUCGUUGCAUUAGGUCUUCACUUCGACGGAGGCGGUCACGCUUCCCUUUCAUCUUCCCAAUCACGUUAGGCUCACCUGAAAUGUCAAUCAAUAACGUUAUCUCAUUACACUACUACAUCGUCUCCAAUUCUUCUUUAAUUUCUCAUUUAGUCUUGCGGAUGCAUAUAUAUACAAACCAAAACAGAGACGAAAUCCUAUUCAUUUCGACCGUGGCGUCUUCUCAAGUUCAUUUCUUGGAGCGUAAGGCCAGCCGUUGCAAGCAGAUGGUUCACACCAAACUCCUGCGAUUUUAGGAAAACCGGAAUGUCAAGAAAGAUGGGGAGAUGAUGGGAGUUGACAUGUUCCUUAUAGAUGUGAAGGCAACGCUCAUUCAGUCCUCAAUCAAUUAUCAUAGACUUAACACAUUCAAACACCUUUUGAAUGAAUGCUCACUUUAUGAGCUCAUUGUUUUGUGAUGCUCUUGUCGCUGUUAGAUUCACUGAAUAAACAUGAGGAACACAUUCUCUCGAAAGUCCAGACUUCAUGGCCACCUCUCACCAGGUACUAUCUCCUUGAUGAACAUGUACCUUUAUAUUAAACUUCCACACACAAAAUCAGUCUCUUCUCUUUGUGAGAAAACGUUCUGGUAUAAAACCAAGACAUCUUCUCUAAAUCAACAAAUCGAUUUGCUGUCAUUCAAAAACGCCACGGCCUCUUUAUUUCUUUUAUUACUAUUUACAAAAUGUUCUCUUUUGAUUUUUGUUUUCCUGCUACUUCCAUUCUACCGCCGCUACUCUGACCAAUGUGGAUGUUCCAUCUCUAUCUCUAUAUAUUUGUCACUUUAUGAUGAUGAUCUGAUAAUGGUUUCUCUUGCUUGUUUACAUGCUACCUCUUACUGGUUUACCGGCACCGAAGAAAGAAAAAGUCCCACUACCAUUGGAUAAAUAGUUAUAAUCUUUAUUAUCAGUUACUGUUUUUCUUCGGCGGGUUUGAAUAUCAAUUAUCAGUUAUUAGUAAUGUUUUGUAGCCUAACGUUUUCAACUUUUCCCUCGCGAAGCUUAUAUGGUGUGCUUAGUUUAAAAAAAAAACAAAACACUGGAUUGGUAUUAACUCGAUGGGUUUCAGUAACAUAUUAUUAUCUUUGCAUCAUUCUAGCUUGUGACUAAAUGAUAUUACUUUCAAUUCGUUGGCACACAGAUGUUGUAGUAGGAAAUUAAUAAGCGUUUGGUCUCGUGCGUUUUCAUUCAAAAGAGUACCAUGAUUAGCUACUCCGUUGUGUCGUGGGCGUGUACGGCAUGGUCAAACGGCUUAAAUAUCCCAUGGUAAAGACAUUGCUACUCUCUAUCUGUUUAGAUGUGACAUGGUAGCGAAUUGGGUGGAGCAUGCAGGAAGCUCAAGUGGCAGGGUGUCAUUCUACAUCUUCAGCAGACACGUAUCUAGGGAGGAAGAGGAAGCGAGAGAACGAAGGGAAAUGGGGUGUAGACCUGCUAAGCAAGAAACUUCAAGGAAUGGGUAUGAUUUGGACCUGAUUAGGUUUAUAGAGUCGCAACUGCAGUAUGAAAUCUUUUAGUGUUUGAGAUACUAAAUACGUAGAACAAACAUGAGUUUUGUUUUGUACUGAAAGAAGAGUUGUUUGUUUGUUAGUUUCCUUUACUUUUCGGUUUGCUAUGUUGACCGACUUUCGUUUGGUUCAUUAUUUGUCUUAUGUUACUUUUUGUUUUAAA